This 1227-nucleotide ribosomal RNA is filed under the name Odoribacter sp. N54.MGS-14. RNAcentral's name for it is "bacterial SSU rRNA". It matches the Rfam family "Bacterial small subunit ribosomal RNA", at positions 8 to 1234 of the family's 1533-position model. Lineage: Bacteria; Pseudomonadati; Bacteroidota; Bacteroidia; Bacteroidales; Odoribacteraceae. The record is from RNAcentral.
AGAGUUUGAUCCUGGCUCAGGAUGAACGCUAGCGACAGGCUUAACACAUGCAAGUCGAGGGGCAUCAUGAGGUAGCAAUACCUUGAUGGCGACCGGCGCACGGGUGAGUAACGCGUAUGCAACCUGCCUGAUACCGGGGUAUAGCCCAUGGAAACGUGGAUUAACACCCCAUAGUACUUUUAUCCUGCAUGGGAUGUGAGUUAAAUGUUCAAGGUAUCGGAUGGGCAUGCGUCCUAUUAGUUAGUUGGCGGGGUAACAGCCCACCAAGACGAUGAUAGGUAGGGGUUCUGAGAGGAAGGUCCCCCACAUUGGAACUGAGACACGGUCCAAACUCCUACGGGAGGCAGCAGUGAGGAAUAUUGGUCAAUGGACGAGAGUCUGAACCAGCCAAGUCGCGUGAGGGAAGACUGCCCUAUGGGUUGUAAACCUCUUUUAUAAGGGAAGAAUAAGUUCUACGUGUAGAAUGAUGCCUGUACCUUAUGAAUAAGCAUCGGCUAACUCCGUGCCAGCAGCCGCGGUAAUACGGAGGAUGCGAGCGUUAUCCGGAUUUAUUGGGUUUAAAGGGUGCGUAGGCGGUUUAUUAAGUUAGUGGUUAAAUAUUUGAGCUAAACUCAAUUGUGCCAUUAAUACUGGUAAACUGGAGUACAGACGAGGUAGGCGGAAUAAGUUAAGUAGCGGUGAAAUGCAUAGAUAUAACUUAGAACUCCGAUAGCGAAGGCAGCUUACCAGACUGUAACUGACGCUGAUGCACGAGAGCGUGGGUAGCGAACAGGAUUAGAUACCCUGGUAGUCCACGCCGUAAACGAUGCUCACUGGUUCUGUGCGAUAUAUUGUACGGGAUUAAGCGAAAGUAUUAAGUGAGCCACCUGGGGAGUACGUCGGCAACGAUGAAACUCAAAGGAAUUGACGGGGGCCCGCACAAGCGGAGGAACAUGUGGUUUAAUUCGAUGAUACGCGAGGAACCUUACCUGGGUUUAAAUGGGAAAUGUCGUAUUUGGAAACAGAUAUUCUCUUCGGAGCGUUUUUCAAGGUGCUGCAUGGUUGUCGUCAGCUCGUGCCGUGAGGUGUCGGGUUAAGUCCCAUAACGAGCGCAACCCUUACCGUUAGUUGCUAGCAUGUAAUGAUGAGCACUCUAACGGGACUGCCACCGUAAGGUGGGAGGAAGGCGGGGAUGACGUCAAAUCAGCACGGCCCUUACACCCAGGGCUACACACGUGUUACAAUGGC